RNAcentral lists this transfer RNA (75 nucleotides) under Weissella thailandensis. Its description in RNAcentral is "tRNA-Ile". It matches the Rfam family "tRNA". Rfam says of the family: Transfer RNA (tRNA) molecules are approximately 80 nucleotides in length. Their secondary structure includes four short double-helical elements and three loops (D, anti-codon, and T loops). RNAcentral also lists the same sequence under 3 other names. Lineage: Bacteria; Bacillati; Bacillota; Bacilli; Lactobacillales; Lactobacillaceae. The record is from RNAcentral.
GGGACUGUAGCUCAGCUGGUUUAGAGCGCACCCCUGAUAAGGGUGAGGUCGGAGGUUCGAGUCCUCUCAGUCCCA